This 74-nucleotide transfer RNA is filed under the name Marmota monax (woodchuck). RNAcentral's name for it is "tRNA.Met". The record is from RNAcentral. Lineage: Eukaryota; Metazoa; Chordata; Mammalia; Rodentia; Sciuridae.
CUGGGGAUAUGGCUCAGUUGGUAGAGUGCUUGCCUCAUAUGCACAAGGCCCUGGUUUUGAUCCCCAACACCAGA